ACUCCUACGGGAGGCAGCAGUGGGGAAUAUUGCACAAUGGGCGCAAGCCUGAUGCAGCCAUGCCGCGUGAUAUCGAAGAAGGGCCUUCGGGUUGAUAAAGUACUUUCAGCAGUGAGGAAGGUGGGUAUGUUAAUAGCAUAUUCAUUUGACGUUAGCUGCAGAAGAAGCACCGGCUAACUCCGUGCCAGCAGCCGCGGUAAUACGGAGGGUGCGAGCGUUAAUCGGAAUUACUGGGCGUAAAGCGCAUGCAGGUGGUUUGUUAAGUCAGAUGUGAAAGCCCGGGGCUCAACCUCGGAAUUGCAUUUGAAACUGGCAAACUAGAGUACUGUAGAGGGGGGUAGAAUUUCAGGUGUAGCGGUGAAAUGCGUAGAGAUCUGAAGGAAUACCGGUGGCGAAGGCGGCCCCCUGGACAGAUACUGACACUCAGAUGCGAAAGCGUGGGGAGCAAACAGGAUUAGAUACCCUGGUAGCUCGAUGU
Molecule: ribosomal RNA, 478 nt
Filed under: uncultured bacterium
Lineage: Bacteria
Description: bacterial SSU rRNA
Rfam family: Bacterial small subunit ribosomal RNA
Source: RNAcentral